AGAGUUUGAUCAUGGCUCAGAACGAACGCUGGCGGCGUGCCUAACACAUGCAAGUCUAACGAGAAAGUCCUCUUCGGAGGGCGAGUAAAGUGGCGAACGGGUGAGUAACACGUGGGCAAUCUGCCCUCGGGACCGGGAUAACUCUGCGAAAGCGGGGCUAAUACCGGAUAAGACCACGCUGUCCCCGGACAGUGCGGUAAAAGGUGGCCUCUUCUUGAAAGCUAUCACUUGGGGAUGGGCCCGCGGCCUAUUAGCUUGUUGGUGAGGUAACGGCUCACCAAGGCGACGAUGGGUAUCCGGCUCGAGAGGGUGAACGGACACACUGGCACUGAGACACGGGCCAGACUCCUACGGGAGGCAGCAGUGGGGAAUUUUGCGCAAUGGGGGAAACCCUGACGCAGCAACGCCGCGUGAGCGAUGAAGGUCUUCGGAUCGUAAAGCUCUUUUAGUGGGGAAGAAACAUCCUGGGGCUAAUACUCCCAGGACUUGACGGUACCCACAGAAAAAGUUCCGGCUAACUACGUGCCAGCAGCCGCGGUAAUACGUAGGGAGCAAGCGUUGUUCGGAAUCAUUGGGCGUAAAGAGCGCGUAGGUGGUUUGUUAAGUCUGGUGUGAAAGCCCACAGCUCAACUGUGGAACUGCAUCAGAAACUGGCAAACUUGAGUGUGGGAGAGGAGAGUGGAAUUCCCAGUGUAGAGGUGAAAUUCGUAGAUAUUGGGAGGAACACCGGUGGCGAAGGCGGCUCUCUGGACCACAACUGACACUGAGGCGCGAAAGCUAGGGGAGCGAACGGGAUUAGAUACCCCGGUAGUCCUAGCCGUAAACGAUGGGCACUAGGUGUGGGGGGUAUUGACCCCUUCCGUGCCGCAGCUAACGCAUUAAGUGCCCCGCCUGGGGAGUACGGUCGCAAGACUAAAACUCAAAGGAAUUGACGGGGGCCCGCACAAGCGGUGGAGCAUGUGGUUUAAUUCGACGCAACGCGAAGAACCUUACCUGGGUUUGACAUCCCUUGACAACAGCAGAGAUGCUGCUUUCCUUCGGGACAAGGAGACAGGUGCUGCAUGGCUGUCGUCAGCUCGUGUCGUGAGAUGUUGGGUUAAGUCCCGCAACGAGCGCAACCCAUGUCUUUAGUUGCCAUCAUUAAGUUGGGCACUCUAAAGAGACUGCCGGUGUCAAACCGGAGGAAGGUGGGGAUGACGUCAAGUCCUCAUGGCCUUUAUGACCAGGGCUACACACGUACUACAAUGGCAUAGACAAAGGGCAGCGACAUCGCGAGGUGAAGCGAAUCCCAUAAACUAUGUCCCAGUCCGGAUUGGAGUCUGCAACUCGACUCCAUGAAGUUGGAAUCGCUAGUAAUCGUAGAUCAGCAUGCUACGGUGAAUACGUUCCCGGGCCUUGUACACACCGCCCGUCACACCACGGGAGUUGGUUGUACCAGAAGCAGUUGAGCGAACUAUUCGUAGACGCAGGCUGCCAAGGUAUGAUUGGUAACUGGGGUGAAGUCGUAACAAGGUAACC
This 1518-nucleotide ribosomal RNA is filed under the name uncultured bacterium. RNAcentral's name for it is "partial 16S ribosomal RNA". It matches the Rfam family "Bacterial small subunit ribosomal RNA". The record is from RNAcentral.